Molecule: ribosomal RNA, 478 nt
Filed under: uncultured bacterium
Lineage: Bacteria
Description: partial 16S ribosomal RNA
Rfam family: Bacterial small subunit ribosomal RNA
Source: RNAcentral
GAUGAACGCUGGCGGCGUGCUUAACACAUGCAAGUCGAACGGGAAACCUUUUAAUGAAGCUUCGUCAGAUUUAGCUGGUUUCUAUUGGCGGUCGGGUGAUUAACGCUUGGGUAACCUGCCUUAUACAGGGGGAUAACAGUCAGAAAUGACUGCUAAUACCGCAUAAGCGCACAGGACCGCAUGGUCCGUUGUGAAAAACUCCGGUGGUAUAAGAUGGACCGGCGUUGGAUUAGCUUGUCAGUGGGGUAACGGCCCACCAAGGCGACGAUCCACAGACGGCCUGAGAGAGAGAGCGGCCACACUUGGACUGGGCAGCGGUCCAGAAUCUUGCGGGAGGCAGCAGAGGGGAAUAUUGCAAAAUGGGGGAAACCAUGAUGCACCGACGAUGGGUGAAGGCAGAAAUAUCUCAGUAUGUAAACUACUAUCAGCAGGGAAGAUAGUGACGGUACCUGACGAAGAAGCCCCGGCUAACUACGUG